CAGGGAAUCUUGCGCAAUGGGCGAAAGCCUGACGCAGCAACGCCGCGUGGGGGAUGAAGGCCUUCGGGUUGUAAACCCCUUUCAGGAGGGAAGAAAUUGACGGUACCUCCAAAAGAAGUCCCGGCUAACUACGUGCCAGCAGCCGCGGUAAUACGUAGGGGGCGAGCGUUGUCCGGAAUCAUUGGGCGUAAAGAGCUCGUAGGCGGUUCAGUAAGUCGGCUGUGAAAUUCCGAGGCUCAACCUCGGAACUGCAGUCGAAACUAUCGUGACUCGAGUCCGGUAGAGGAGAAUGGAAUUCCCGGUGUAGCGGUGAAAUGCGCAGAUAUCGGGAGGAACACCAGUAGCGAAGGCGGUUCUCUGGGCCGGUACUGACGCUGAGGAGCGAAAGCGUGGGGAGCGAAACAGGAUUAGAUACCCUGGUAGUCCACGCUGUAAACGUUGGACACUAGGUGUGGCGGUCUGAUCAACGACUGCCGUGCCGAAGCUAACGCAUUAAGUGU
RNAcentral lists this ribosomal RNA (500 nucleotides) under uncultured Actinomycetes bacterium. RNAcentral describes it as "bacterial SSU rRNA". It matches the Rfam family "Bacterial small subunit ribosomal RNA", at positions 355 to 867 of the family's 1533-position model. The record is from RNAcentral. Lineage: Bacteria; Bacillati; Actinomycetota; Actinomycetes.